GGGAACGACCUGCACCGGCUUGGAUCUCGGGCGCACUGACUGGCUGGCGAGAGGUGGCUGCAGGAGUGGAGCUGUAUAAUGCCCACAUGAUGGACAAAGAAUUAGAAGCUGAGAUCCACCCUUUGAAGCAUGAUGACAGAAAGCCUCGGGGAAGUUUGGAAAACAGAACUGAAAAGGACAGAUCUUUUAAGAAAGCGCCUCAUCACUCUCGGUUUGCCCACUGCCGCACAAUUGUUUUUUUCUUUCUGUUAUUUACCAGCCUUUUUGCGGUAUUCAUCAUUUCAUUCAUCAUCCCAUGUCCAGAUCGGCCUAUAUCAGAAAAAAUGUGGGAAAUAAAUUUUAACACAGCAGUAACCUAUGACUUCAUGGCAUUUAAAGAUAUAAAUGAAGACACCAUUCAAGAUAUUUUUUUUCUUUAUAAAGACAGCAACAGCAGCAGCAGUUUUAACAUAUCCUGCACAGAUGAAGGCUUUUCCUCCCCAUGUGCCUUUCUUGCUGCUGUGUCCGGUGCCAAUGGCAGCCUGCUCUGGGAGAGGCCUGUUGCUCAGGACGUUGCCUACAUGGAGUGUUUUAAUCAACAGAUGAGGAAUGGGCCACCCUCAACCUGCUUCAUUGUGGGGAAACAGAAUUCUUUCCUUGCAGUUGAUUCUUCCAUAGGAGAAAUACUGUGGCAUCUGCCUUGGCACUUUGGAGUUAAUGACUCAAUACUGAGUCCCUUCCUGAAAGUACCUGAUGUGACUGGUGAUGGAAUUCAAGACCUGCUACUUUUCAUCAAAUCGGGGAGCAAGAUUAAAAGUUGCCUCUAUUCAAGCACUACUGGUGACCAAGUUGCUUCCAUAAGCCACCUAAAUCUAGAAGGAGAAGUUGGUUAUAUCAUGCAUAUCACGAACACUGGAGCCUACUACAUUAUUUUUCAUUCUGCAUCUUCCCUCUAUGGAUAUCCUCUGAAGGAUCUUUAUGAGGAAAUGACUGGAGAAAUAAACAUAUUUGAGGAAGAUCCUUACUGGAAGAUAAUGAUUGACAAUGUUACCCACAGAAUGCCUCCUUCUCUCAGCAUGGAAACCAUCCGUUACCUAAUGAAAGUACCUGGAGAUACAGGGGAAGACAUACUCCUUGUGAAAUCAGAUGCAUGUGAGCUGCUUGAUGGGCAGAAACUAAUUUCGAAGUGGACCCUCAACGUAUCUGAAAUUGUGAGAAAACCAGUCCUUGGCUACUACAAACCAGGUGCAACUGCUAUAGUCCUUGAAAAUGGAGCCGGUGUCCAAAGAAAGAUCUUGAUUGUGGAUGCUGCCUCGGGAGCCAUCCUCUGGAGCUACCCCCUGAUCGCAUUUGCAGGGACUCCCAAGUCAGCUACGGUAAAGACAGCUGACCGACGUUCCGCUUUCUUCUUCUGGAGCAGUAGUAACCAGACGGUAUGAAGAGAGACUGUGCUGAACCUGAGCUUUGGAGUUGGAGGACCUGGGUUCAAGUCCCAACUCUGUCUCUUCUUCUGCAAAAUCAAAGGGCUGAUGAUCUUUAAGGAAACUGUUGACUCACGGAAAAACCUGUAUAUGUUCCACCCCACUUUUCCUGAUAUCUUUUUGGAAUUUACCAAUGUUACCAAAAACAUUGUGGCCUUUAAUAUGUUGUUUGAGCAGAACCACCAUGCCUCUUACGUGCUGCUGACUGGGCCCACGAGUCAAGACUGGCCUGGCCUGGUGUCUUUAUCAAAGCAGAAGGUGAAGGAGAAUGUCCUAGAUGCGGAGGUGAUCUGGCUGGGGCAGGCAAGGCCUGAGAAUGAACAGACCAUUAAGGACCGGUUUUAUGAGCUGAGAUACAAGAGGGAAGCAUGAACUCCUCAGCAGACAGUGUCUUCUUUUCCCUGGUUUUUCUUCUUCCUCCCUAAGAAACCAACUGAAGAAAUUAAAAAUGCGAGAAAUCUCUACUUUUCCACAUGUUCUCCAAACUGACUUAUGCAUAGGCCAGAAAUGCAGUUUCCUCCUCUUGUGGAGACAGAAUUCAUCCCAAAUCUUUCUCCAGGUGCCUUGUUCUGAGACUCGAGAGUUUAGAUGACAUUAAAAUGCCAUCCUCUGUGUUCCUUACAAAUAAGGAACAAUUAGGAACCAGAACUUGAGAAGCCUAACUCAUUACACUUUUGAUAGCAUUAAUCCCACUUCCUUGGUGUGUCUUCACUCCUUUGCCCUUGGAAGGGGGAGUGGGGAGGGGAGCCUCACCUUGUGAUUCUUUCUAAGGCAGGCCUGCACAACAUACAGCCUGUAGGCCACUUGUGGCCCACCAAAGGAUUUCUGGCAGCCUGUGAAAAAUGUAGGGUUGCCACCGUGCACUCUUCUGUGCGUUCUGGCAGCUUGCUCAGACUGAGCUCAGAGAAAGCACUGACCUGUAUUGGUGGAGAAAAUUCCAUCUACCUUGUACGAAAUUACAGGUCCACUCCUUGGUCCCUAGGAUUGGUCACAUGACCUGUAGCAGCCAACCACCAUCUGUCUCUACUCUAAGCUGCCCCAAAGAAGUUUAGCUUAUUUUAAUUUUGGCCCCAUCUACUGCCAAUUUGUGCAAGUCUGAUUUAAGGCUUAGUACGAGGACGUGAGUUCUCCAAACAGGUUCUGCCUUGGCCCUCUUUUGUGUUCCCAGCCAUGGACAGAUCUUCUCUAAAGACAGCCUUACUAGGCCUUGCCCAGCCCUCCAGGCUAAGCAUGAGGCCAUGCACUUUACUGUAGGGCCAACUUACUCAUUCUGUUGAGAUUUCCUCCUUGAAGGCAUAUGGGGUUUGGGACUGCUGAGUUAGGCCGAGGGAGGUGUGGGAUGCUUUCUUCAUGAUUUUCCUAUCUCUCUCAAGGAGAGCUGAGUGAGAGAUGCCGACACUUUCAGAAAAUUCUGAAGCAGAUGGUAGUCUACUGUCCGUAUUCCAGCUUUACCUAACUUCUGUGGAAACACUUCAGAUAGUAGCAGCUCUUUGAUUAAGAUCCUCACAUCCAGCUCUAGUGAAUAUAUGUCAACAGAGACACUGCCGGUCUAACCUUUCCUCCUGCUUGCAGCUGCUUAGACUGUACUCCUCUCUAGGCUGCCACUGGACUCUGGGGGUGUCCAGGUGACUGCUGCUUUGGCUUCUCUGCCUCAAAACCUCAUCCACCCCCAAAUCCUAAUUCAGGAAGCUUUCUUUAGCUUGGUCCAGUAGAGAUUUUGGCCUGCAGGAGCCCCUUGGACUCAGUCCCUGGGAGGAGUUGGGCUUCAGACUCUAUGGAGUUUGAAGCUCUAUGGAGCUGUAAUUUGAAAGAGAAAACACUGUUCCCAGCAACUUUCUGAUGAGUAGGAGGUGAUCAGUCCCUGUGUGUGACUACGGAAUGACAUGGGGUAGAUUGCUCACAAAAUUUGGUGGUUUUAAAACCAUACACAUUGGAUACUUGUGCCAUAAACUCCAAAACAUACCCAGCAGAAAUUCUUUACACCAGCAUCAAUAGGAAACAAUGGGUUUCUUGGGUGUUUUACUCUGGCCCUGUUCUCCUUUAUGGAAUCAAAAUGAACUGGACUAAUGGCCUGCUCAAGUCAGAAACAUGAAGUCAAGGCCCUUCUGCUUAACGCCAGACAGCCACACCCCUUUCAGGGGAGGCUUGGGAUGACAACAUUCCGCUGUUGCUUGGUGACUUUAGUGAGAGCGCAGCAGUAGCUUGGCUUCCUUUACUAGAACAUUUAUGUAAAUUUCUGUGUUAGUAGGAGGGCCGUGGACAGCAUUGGACAGCCCUGACUUAGGUAAUGGAGGACUUGCUGUAGUGCCUUAUUGCUCUUAAACCCCUCUCAGGGCAGAUGCAGCUUAGAUGAUGGAGCUUGACCUUUAUAACUUAAUACAAAUCAGUUUGAACCCUGCA
RNA transcript from Trichosurus vulpecula (common brushtail), 3860 nucleotides. It is a transcript of the gene named family with sequence similarity 234 member A, with no coding region annotated. Lineage: Eukaryota; Metazoa; Chordata; Mammalia; Diprotodontia; Phalangeridae. The transcript has 12 exons. The record is from RefSeq and is a predicted model, not a curated record.